This 492-nucleotide ribosomal RNA is filed under the name uncultured bacterium. RNAcentral's name for it is "partial 16S ribosomal RNA". It matches the Rfam family "Bacterial small subunit ribosomal RNA", at positions 29 to 507 of the family's 1533-position model. The record is from RNAcentral.
AGUGAACGCUGGCGGUAGGCCUAACACAUGCAAGUCGAACGGCAGCACAGUAAGAGCUUGCUCUUACGGGUGGCGAGUGGCGGACGGGUGAGGAAUACAUCGGAAUCUACUUUUUCGUGGGGGAUAACGUAGGGAAACUUACGCUAAUACCGCAUACGACCUACGGGUGAAAGCAGGGGAUCUUCGGACCUUGCGCGAUUGAAUGAGCCGAUGUCGGAUUAGCUAGUUGGCGGGGUAAAGGCCCACCAAGGCGACGAUGCGUAGCUGGUCUGAGAGGAUGAUCAGCCACACUGGAACUGAGACACGGUCCAGACUCCUACGGGAGGCAGCAGUGGGGAAUAUUGGACAAUGGGCGCAAGCCUGAUCCAGCCAUACCGCGUGGGUGAAGAAGGCCUUCGGGUUGUAAAGCCCUGUUGUUGGGAAAGAAAAGCAGCAGGUUAAUACCCCGCUGUUCUGACGGUACCCAAAGAAUAAGCACCGGCUAACUUCGUG